CCAGUGAAACUCAACAGCUGGUUGUAUUUCCUCACAUUGGUUGCUGUGAACAACUUUCAUGUAAAAAUGUUCACUAGGUAACACAAACUAAACUCAGUUCAUGUCUUUUUGUUUCAGAUGAUAAUAUCUUAAAGCACUGGCACACAACACAAAUCUAUCUGAAUGAUUAAAUCCAUUUUCAUGUAUUAUGUUUCCUGUUUAGCCUUCCUUUCUCUGGUGAAAGUAACCAUGACGACGCUGACUAAUGUCUGGUAUCUCUGGGCUGUGAACUCUUCACUCACCUCCUCUUGCAGGACUCAGAAAGAAUAUAAAUCCAGUUCUAAAAACGCUCACACCUUAAGGCCGUCUAACUGGUGUGACUACUAAUGAAUCCAGACCGACGCUCACAAUAAUGCAGUCCGACUGCUCUGUGUCAUCUGAUCUGAUGUUGUGCAGAAGUUUGAACCCUGUCUGGGAUUGAUGGUUUAUGAUUUCAUGGUGCUCCUCAGCAGCACAGUGAGGAACUCUCUCUCUAAACUGUAAGUGGGAAUACUUGAGUGUGUAUUAAAACUAUUAUUUCACAUGUUAACAGUUCUCCUGCUACCUUAC
Long non-coding RNA from Perca fluviatilis (European perch), 588 nucleotides. RefSeq lists it as uncharacterized. The record is from RefSeq and is a predicted model, not a curated record. NCBI's taxonomy places the organism in Eukaryota, Metazoa, Chordata, Actinopteri, Perciformes, Percidae. The transcript has 4 exons.